Molecule: long non-coding RNA, 252 nt
Filed under: Trifolium pratense (red clover)
Lineage: Eukaryota; Viridiplantae; Streptophyta; Magnoliopsida; Fabales; Fabaceae
Description: long non-coding RNA (TPRA_LNC010263)
Source: RNAcentral
UUUUUUUUUUUUUGGGUGUGAUAUUAGAAUGAAAAUUGAAAAGAACUUACUAUGAAAUAGGUAAGAGAGAAACAAAAUAUGAGAAAAUUAAGGAAGAGUUAGAAAACCUCAAACUCUAAGUAUGUUCGCAAGUGUGUGUAUACUGUGACACUCUCCAAAGUACUUUUUCUCGCUGUAGUGUUUUUGCUUUUCUCUCUCUCUUUUGUUUUGUUAAGUUAAGUGUGUUCUCAAAAGAAGAGAGCGUGAGGGACC